RNAcentral lists this ribosomal RNA (645 nucleotides) under uncultured Basidiomycota. Its description in RNAcentral is "LSU rRNA". It matches the Rfam family "Eukaryotic large subunit ribosomal RNA", at positions 1 to 631 of the family's 3401-position model. Lineage: Eukaryota; Fungi; Basidiomycota. The record is from RNAcentral.
CCUCAAAUCAGGCGGGACUACCCGCUGAACUUAAGCAUAUCAAUAAGCGGAGGAAAAGRAACUAACAAGGAUUCCCCUAGUAACUGCGAGUGAAGCGGGAAAAGCUCAAAUUUAAAAUCUGGCAGUCUUUGGCUGUCCGAGUUGUAGUCUGGAGAAGCGUCUUCCGCGCUGGACCGUGUACAAGUCUCCUGGAACGGAGCGUCAUAGAGGGUGAGAAUCCCGUCUUUGACACGGACUACCAGUGCUUUGUGAUGCGCUCUCAAAGAGUCGAGUUGUUUGGGAAUGCAGCUCAAAAUGGGUGGUAAACUCCAUCUAAAGCUAAAUAUUGGCGAGAGACCGAUAGCGAACAAGUACCGUGAGGGAAAGAUGAAAAGCACUUUGGAAAGAGAGUUAAACAGUACGUGAAAUUGUUGAAAGGGAAACGCUUGAAGUCAGUCGCGUUGACCAGGGAUCAACCUUGCUUUUGCUUGGUGUACUUCCUGAUUAACGGGUCAGCAUCAAUUUUGACCAGUGGAAAAAGUUUAAGGGAAUGUGGCAUCUUCGGAUGUGUUAUAGCCUUUAUUCGUAUACAUUGGUUGGGAUUGAGGAACUCAGCACGCGCCGCAAGGCCGGGUUUCGACUACGUUCGUGCUUAGGAUGCUGGCA